This 253-nucleotide ribosomal RNA is filed under the name uncultured bacterium. RNAcentral's name for it is "partial 16S ribosomal RNA". It matches the Rfam family "Bacterial small subunit ribosomal RNA", at positions 524 to 776 of the family's 1533-position model. The record is from RNAcentral.
GACAGAGGAUGCAAGCAUUAUCCGGAAUGAUUGGGCGUAAAGCGUCUGUAGGUGGCUUUUCAAGUCUGCCGUCAAAUCCCAGGGCUCAACCCUGGACAGGCAGUGGAAACUAACAAGCUGGAGUACGGUAGGGGCAGAGGGAAUUUCCGGUGGAGCGGUGAAAUGCAUUGAGAUCGGAAAGAACACCAACGACAAAAGCACUCUGCUGGGCCGAUACUGACACUAAGAGACGAAAGCUAGGGGAGCAAAUGGG